CCCUUAGAUGUUCUGGGCCGCACGCGCGCUACACUGAUGCGUUCAACGAGUCUAAAACCUGCUCUGAUAGGGGUGGGUAAUCUUUUGAAUGUGCAUCGUGAUUGGGAUAGAUGAUUGCAAUUUUUCAUCUUCAACGAGGAAUGCCUAGUAAACGCAAGUCAUCAGCUUGCAUUGAUUACGUCCCUGCCCUUUGUACACACCGCCCGUCGCUCCUACCGAUUGAAUGAUCCGAUGAAUAUCAUGGAUUGAGGAUGCAAGUAGGUUAGCCUAUCUUCAUCUUCGAGAAGUGAAGUAAAUCUUAUCAUUUAGAGGAAGGAGAAGUCGUAACA
RNAcentral lists this ribosomal RNA (329 nucleotides) under uncultured eukaryote. Its description in RNAcentral is "partial 18S ribosomal RNA". It matches the Rfam family "Eukaryotic small subunit ribosomal RNA", at positions 1470 to 1796 of the family's 1831-position model. The record is from RNAcentral.